CAGUCGCCGCGGGAAUACGUAGGUGGCAAGCGUUGUCCGGAUUUAUUGGGCGUAAAGCGAGCGCAGGCGGUCAAUUAAGUCUGAUGUGAAAGCCCCCGGCUCAACCGGGGAGGGUCAUUGGAAACUGGUUGACUUGAGUGCAGAAGAGGAGAGUGGAAUUCCAUGUGUAGCGGUGAAAUGCGUAGAUAUAUGGAGGAACACCAGUGGCGAAGGCGACUCUCUGGUCUGUAACUGACGCUGAGGCUCGAAAGCGUGGGUAGCAAACAGGAUUAGAUACCCGAGUAGUCCCUGUCUCUUAUAC
Molecule: ribosomal RNA, 301 nt
Filed under: uncultured bacterium
Lineage: Bacteria
Description: partial 16S ribosomal RNA
Rfam family: Bacterial small subunit ribosomal RNA
Source: RNAcentral